Molecule: ribosomal RNA, 2262 nt
Filed under: Staphylococcus aureus T64318
Lineage: Bacteria; Bacillati; Bacillota; Bacilli; Caryophanales; Staphylococcaceae
Description: bacterial LSU rRNA
Rfam family: Bacterial large subunit ribosomal RNA
Source: RNAcentral
UUAAGUUAUUAAGGGCGCACGGUGGAUGCCUUGGCACUAGAAGCCGAUGAAGGACGUUACUAACGACGAUAUGCUUUGGGGAGCUGUAAGUAAGCUUUGAUCCAGAGAUUUCCGAAUGGGGAAACCCAGCAUGAGUUAUGUCAUGUUAUCGAUAUGUGAAUACAUAGCAUAUCAGAAGGCACACCCGGAGAACUGAAACAUCUUAGUACCCGGAGGAAGAGAAAGAAAAUUCGAUUCCCUUAGUAGCGGCGAGCGAAAUGGGAAGAGCCCAAACCAACAAGCUUGCUUGUUGGGGUUGUAGGACACUCUAUACGGAGUUACAAAGGACGACAUUAGACGAAUCAUCUGGAAAGAUGAAUCAAAGAAGGUAAUAAUCCUGUAGUCGAAAAUGUUGUCUCUCUUGAGUGGAUCCUGAGUACGACGGAGCACGUGAAAUUCCGUCGGAAUCUGGGAGGACCAUCUCCUAAGGCUAAAUACUCUCUAGUGACCGAUAGUGAACCAGUACCGUGAGGGAAAGGUGAAAAGCACCCCGGAAGGGGAGUGAAAUAGAACCUGAAACCGUGUGCUUACAAGUAGUCAGAGCCCGUUAAUGGGUGAUGGCGUGCCUUUUGUAGAAUGAACCGGCGAGUUACGAUUUGAUGCAAGGUUAAGCAGUAAAUGUGGAGCCGUAGCGAAAGCGAGUCUGAAUAGGGCGUUUAGUAUUUGGUCGUAGACCCGAAACCAGGUGAUCUACCCUUGGUCAGGUUGAAGUUCAGGUAACACUGAAUGGAGGACCGAACCGACUUACGUUGAAAAGUGAGCGGAUGAACUGAGGGUAGCGGAGAAAUUCCAAUCGAACCUGGAGAUAGCUGGUUCUCUCCGAAAUAGCUUUAGGGCUAGCCUCAAGUGAUGAUUAUUGGAGGUAGAGCACUGUUUGGACGAGGGGCCCCUCUCGGGUUACCGAAUUCAGACAAACUCCGAAUGCCAAUUAAUUUAACUUGGGAGUCAGAACAUGGGUGAUAAGGUCCGUGUUCGAAAGGGAAACAGCCCAGACCACCAGCUAAGGUCCCAAAAUAUAUGUUAAGUGGAAAAGGAUGUGGCGUUGCCCAGACAACUAGGAUGUUGGCUUAGAAGCAGCCAUCAUUUAAAGAGUGCGUAAUAGCUCACUAGUCGAGUGACACUGCGCCGAAAAUGUACCGGGGCUAAACAUAUUACCGAAGCUGUGGAUUGUCCUUUGGACAAUGGUAGGAGAGCGUUCUAAGGGCGUUGAAGCAUGAUCGUAAGGACAUGUGGAGCGCUUAGAAGUGAGAAUGCCGGUGUGAGUAGCGAAAGACGGGUGAGAAUCCCGUCCACCGAUUGACUAAGGUUUCCAGAGGAAGGCUCGUCCGCUCUGGGUUAGUCGGGUCCUAAGCUGAGGCCGACAGGCGUAGGCGAUGGAUAACAGGUUGAUAUUCCUGUACCACCUAUAAUCGUUUUAAUCGAUGGGGGGACGCAGUAGGAUAGGCGAAGCGUGCGAUUGGAUUGCACGUCUAAGCAGUAAGGCUGAGUAUUAGGCAAAUCCGGUACUCGUUAAGGCUGAGCUGUGAUGGGGAGAAGACAUUGUGUCUUCGAGUCGUUGAUUUCACACUGCCGAGAAAAGCCUCUAGAUAGAAAAUAGGUGCCCGUACCGCAAACCGACACAGGUAGUCAAGAUGAGAAUUCUAAGGUGAGCGAGCGAACUCUCGUUAAGGAACUCGGCAAAAUGACCCCGUAACUUCGGGAGAAGGGGUGCUCUUUAGGGUUAACGCCCAGAAGAGCCGCAGUGAAUAGGCCCAAGCGACUGUUUAUCAAAAACACAGGUCUCUGCUAAACCGUAAGGUGAUGUAUAGGGGCUGACGCCUGCCCGGUGCUGGAAGGUUAAGAGGAGUGGUUAGCUUCUGCGAAGCUACGAAUCGAAGCCCCAGUAAACGGCGGCCGUAACUAUAACGGUCCUAAGGUAGCGAAAUUCCUUGUCGGGUAAGUUCCGACCCGCACGAAAGGCGUAACGAUUUGGGCACUGUCUCAACGAGAGACUCGGUGAAAUCAUAGUACCUGUGAAGAUGCAGGUUACCCGCGACAGGACGGAAAGACCCCGUGGAGCUUUACUGUAGCCUGAUAUUGAAAUUCGGCACAGCUUGUACAGGAUAGGUAGGAGCCUUUGAAACGUGAGCGCUAGCUUACGUGGAGGCGCUGGUGGGAUACUACCCUAGCUGUGUUGGCUUUCUAACCCGCACCACUUAUCGUGGUGGGAGACAGUGUCAGGCG